GAUGAACGCUGGCGGCGUGCCUAAUACAUGCAAGUCGAGCGAAUGGAUUAAGAGCUUGCUCUUAUGAAGUUAGCGGCGGACGGGUGAGUAACACGUGGGUAACCUGCCCAUAAGACUGGGAUAACUCCGGGAAACCGGGGCUAAUACCGGAUAAUAUUUUGAACUGCAUGGUUCAAAAUUGAAAUGCGGCUUCGGCUGUCACUUAUGGAUGGACCCGCGUCGCAUUAGCUAGUUGGUGAGGUAAAGGCUCACCAAGGCAACGAUGCGUAGCCGACCUGAGAGGGUGAUCGGCCACACUGGGACUGAGACACGGCCCAGACUCCUACGGGAGGCAGCAGUAGGGAAUCUUCCGCAAUGGACGAAAGUCUGACGGAGCAACGCCGCGUGAGUGAUGAAGGCUUUCGGGUCGUAAAACUCUGUUGUUAGGGAAGAACAAGUGCUAGUUGAAUAAGCUGGCACCUUGACGGUACCUAACCAGAAAGCCACGGCUAACUACGUGCCAGCAGCCGCCGUAA
RNAcentral lists this ribosomal RNA (515 nucleotides) under uncultured bacterium. RNAcentral describes it as "partial 16S ribosomal RNA". It matches the Rfam family "Bacterial small subunit ribosomal RNA", at positions 28 to 523 of the family's 1533-position model. The record is from RNAcentral.